GACGAACGCUGGCGGCGUGCUUAACACAUGCAAGUCGAACGGAAAGGCCCUGCUUGCAGGGUACUCGAGUGGCGAACGGGUGAGUAACACGUGGGUGAUCUGCCCUGCACUUCGGGAUAAGCCUGGGAAACUGGGUCUAAUACCGGAUAGGAGCCAUUUUUAGUGUGAUGGUUGGAAAGUUUUUUCGGUGUAGGAUGAGCUCGCGGCCUAUCAGCUUGUUGGUGGGGUAAUGGCCUACCAAGGCGGCGACGGGUAGCCGGCCUGAGAGGGUGGACGGCCACAUUGGGACUGAGAUACGGCCCAGACUCCUACGGGAGGCAGCAGUGGGGAAUAUUGCACAAUGGGCGCAGGCCUGAUGCAGCGACGCCGCGUGGGGGAUGACGGCAUUCGGGUUGUAAACUCCUUUCGCUAGGGACGAAGCUUUUUGUGACGGUACCUAGAUAAGAAGCACCGGCUAACUACGUG
Molecule: ribosomal RNA, 465 nt
Filed under: uncultured bacterium
Lineage: Bacteria
Description: partial 16S ribosomal RNA
Rfam family: Bacterial small subunit ribosomal RNA
Source: RNAcentral